AAUAGAUACCCGGGUAGUCCACCCGUAAACGUUGGGAACUAGUUGUGGGGUCCUUUCCACGGAUUCCGUGACGCAGCUAACGCAUUAAGUUCCCCGCCUGGGGAGUACGGCCGCAAGGCUAAAACUCAAAGGAAUUGACGGGGACCCGCACAAGCGGCGGAGCAUGCGGAUUAAUUCGAUGCAACGCGAAGAACCUUACCAAGGCUUGACAUACACCAGAACACCCUAGAAAUAGGGGACUCUUUGGACACUGGUGAACAGGUGGUGCAUGGUUGUCGUCAGCUCGUGUCGUGAGAUGUUGGGUUAAGUCCCGCAACGAGCGCAACCCUCGUUCUAUGUUGCCAGCACGUAAUGGUGGGAACUCAUGGGAUACUGCCGGGGUCAACUCGGAGGAAGGUGGGGAUGACGUCAAAUCAUCAUGCCCCUUAUGUCUUGGGCUUCACGCAUGCUACAAUGGCCGGUACAAAGGGCUGCAAUACCGUGAGGUGGAGCGAAUCCCAAAAAGCCGGUCCCAGUUCGGAUUGAGGUCUGCAACUCGACCUCA
Molecule: ribosomal RNA, 544 nt
Filed under: uncultured bacterium
Lineage: Bacteria
Description: bacterial SSU rRNA
Rfam family: Bacterial small subunit ribosomal RNA
Source: RNAcentral